Molecule: ribosomal RNA, 430 nt
Filed under: Actinomycetes bacterium
Lineage: Bacteria; Bacillati; Actinomycetota; Actinomycetes
Description: Actinobacteria bacterium partial 16S ribosomal RNA
Rfam family: Bacterial small subunit ribosomal RNA
Source: RNAcentral
UGGGGAAUAUUGGACAAUGGGCGCAAGCCUGAUCCAGCCAUGCCGCGUGUGUGAAGAAGGCCUUUUGGUUGUAAAGCACUUUAAGCGAGGAGGAGGCUACUUGGAUUAAUACUCUAGGAUAGUGGACGUUACUCGCAGAAUAAGCACCGGCUAACUCUGUGCCAGCAGCCGCGGUAAUACAGAGGGUGCGAGCGUUAAUCGGAUUUACUGGGCGUAAAGCGUGCGUAGGCGGCUUCUUAAGUCGGAUGUGAAAUCCCUGAGCUUAACUUAGGAAUUGCAUUCGAUACUGGGAAGCUAGAGUACGGGAGAGGAUGGUAGAAUUCCAGGUGUAGCGGUGAAAUGCGUAGAGAUCUGGAGGAAUACCGAUGGCGAAGGCAGCCAUCUGGCCUAAUACUGACGCUGAGGUACGAAAGCAUGGGGAGCAAACAGG